AGAGUUUGAUUCUGGCUCAGGAUGAACGCUGGCGGCGUGCUUAACACAUGCAAGUCGAGCGAAGCACUCUGCUUUGAUUCUUUCGGGAUGAAGAGCAUUGUGACUGAGCGGCGGACGGGUGAGUAACGCGUGGGUAACCUGCCUCAUACAGGGGGAUAACAGUUGGAAAUGGCUGCUAAUACCGCAUAAGACCACAGCACCGCAUGGUGCAGGGGUAAAAACUCCGGUGGUAUGAGAUGGACCCGCGUCUGAUUAGCUAGUUGGUGGGGUAACGGCCUACCAAGGCGACGAUCAGUAGCCGACCUGAGAGGGUGACCGGCCACAUUGGGACUGAGACACGGCCCAAACUCCUACGGGAGGCAGCAGUGGGGAAUAUUGCACAAUGGGGGAAACCCUGAUGCAGCGACGCCGCGUGAGCGAAGAAGUAUUUCGGUAUGUAAAGCUCUAUCAGCAGGGAAGAAAAUGACGGUACCUGACUAAGAAGCCCCGGCUAACUACGUGCCAGCAGCCGCGGUAAUACGUAGGGGGCAAGCGUUAUCCGGAUUUACUGGGUGUAAAGGGAGCGUAGACGGCGAGGCAAGUCUGAUGUGAAAACCCGGGGCUCAACCCCGUGACUGCAUUGGAAACUGUUUUGCUUGAGUGCCGGAGAGGUAGCGGAAUUCCUAGUGUAGCGGUGAAAUGCGUAGAUAUCAGGAGGAACAUCAGUGGCGAAGGCGGCUUUCUGGACUGUAACUGACGCUGAGGCGCGAGAGCGUGGGGAGCAAACAGGAUUAGAUACCCUGGUAGUCCACGCCGUAAACGAUGAAUACCAGGUGUAGGGGGUAUCGACCCCCUCUGUGCCGCAGCAAACGCAAUAAGUAUUCCGCCUGGGGAGUACGGCCGCAAGGUUGAAACUCAAAGGAAUUGACGGGGGCCCGCACAAGCAGCGGAGCAUGUGGUUUAAUUCGACGCAACGCGAAGAACCUUACCAAGACUUGACAUCCUCUGACGCAUAUAGAGAUAUAUGUUCCCUUCGGGGCAGAGAGACAGGUGGUGCAUGGUUGUCGUCAGCUCGUGUCGUGAGAUGUUGGGUUAAGUCCCGCAACGAGCGCAACCCUUGUGAACAGUUGCCAGUAUUAAGUUAGGAACUCUGUUCAGACUGCCGUGGACAACACGGAGGAAGGUGGGGACGACGUCAAAUCAUCAUGCCCCUUACGUCUUGGGCUACACACGUGCUACAAUGGCCGUAACAGAGGGCAGCGAAAGGGCAACCUGGAGCGAAUCUCAAAAAAACGGUCUCAGUUCAGACUGUGGGCUGCAACCCGCCCACAUGAAGACGGAGUUGCUAGUAAUCGCGGAUCAGCAUGCCGCGGUGAAUGCGUUCCCGGGCCUUGUACACACCGCCCGUCACACCAUGGGAGUUGAGAGCACCCGAAGUCGGUGACCUAACCGCAAGGAAGGAGCCGCCGAAGGUGAGAUUGAUGACUGGGGUGAAGUCGUAACAAGGUA
RNAcentral lists this ribosomal RNA (1488 nucleotides) under metagenome. RNAcentral describes it as "bacterial SSU rRNA". It matches the Rfam family "Bacterial small subunit ribosomal RNA". The record is from RNAcentral.